Molecule: non-coding RNA, 144 nt
Organism: Caenorhabditis elegans
Lineage: Eukaryota; Metazoa; Nematoda; Chromadorea; Rhabditida; Rhabditidae
Source: Ensembl
GAACACAUGCCAGGAACCGUUGAAAAUCUGAAAACACUUGCUAUUCUUCUUCAGAAUAUUAUAAACAUACGGCUUGAACUUUUGGCAGCAAUGGGUUCUUGAACAUGUUCGAUUCAGACUGGCCAAGAGCAAUGCGACUAAUUA